This is a long non-coding RNA of Anguilla rostrata (American eel), 7498 nucleotides long. RefSeq lists it as uncharacterized. The transcript has 5 exons. The record is from RefSeq and is a predicted model, not a curated record. Lineage: Eukaryota; Metazoa; Chordata; Actinopteri; Anguilliformes; Anguillidae.
UUUUUUCACUGAGUCAUUCGGAUGCCUCAGUUCCUUUAGGGGGGUGGGGGUGGGGCAGGGCAGGGGGGUUGGUGGGAAGGAAGGGGGGCGGUAAGGAGAAUUAGUGUAAGGACAUCAAUCAACUGUGUGUGGAAAGCGGGCUGCUAUCAGACUCUGUGUAACAAGAAGGCUGGCAGACGUACCUGGACGUUGUUUUUUCCUGUCCUCUGCCUCAGAUGAAUGGAGAACGGCAAGGAGUCUCGUUUCCUUAAGAAGAGAUGAUGGGAGGAAAUGAAGAUGGAGGAGCCGGUUAGCCCCCCCGUCCCACUCGCCCACCCCGGUGAGAUCAUGGCGGGGUGGUCAUGAGGAAGGAGACCCUCGCCGAGGGGGACAAAAUGGAGGGUGGUGCCCCCUGAAACCACUGCCUGCCCCCCCCCCCCUCCCUCAUUCAGAGACUGAAAGACUACAAGGACCAGAAGGGAUAUUCCAUAUUCGAUAAAAAGGUUGGUUGCAGAGGCCGGCUCAAGGACGACCCAAAAACAAGCCACGCUUCCUGACCACAGAACACGCGUCACCGUGAACGUUAAACAGAAUCGGAAUGUCUGGUGCUGCUGGGCGGCUCAUCCUUUUAACCCUUUACGGCAGAGGUGGACAAUGAGGGCCCUGUCUGUUUCUGGUUUUCAUGCCAACUUCUGGUGUGAUUGGAAUGUUCUUAACUGAACAUUCUAUUGCUGAUGUAACAUGCAGAACUGGUAACUGAAAGCAAUGGAGUUCUAGAACACUGACAUAGAAUAAAAAAAAAAAAACAUUACAAAAGAACUAUUUUUCAAAGGGUUAAGGCGCUGUUGUGUUAUGUUCCAGUGCAUGGGUGGGCUGCACACUGUGGUAUUGGGUCCAGACUGUGCCAGCGCUUACCUUGGCUGGCAGCUCUGCAAGGUGGCACAUCGUUGGCGCAUUGCUCGGGGAGGGAGGGCUUCAGCAGGCCAGGAUAGAAUGCAUCUUUUAAAAAAUACAGGAGUAGGAAGUGGUUUUAAUCUUAAUAAGUGCUAUUUCUGAAGAUGUUGUUUCAAAAUAUGAGUAUCUCGUGAGUCUUUCAACAAUAACCUGUAUGAUAACAUUGGAUGGGGACUUCAUUGCAAUCAUUCAUUACAUUACAAUUAUUGUUUUUGUCCUUCUAUGUAGUGGUUUUUUAAUCACAUCUCUUAAUAGUUCAGAAAUAAAAGAAAAAAAGUUUAUUUCUUCAUUGAACCCUUUAUUUCCACCAUACUCUUGUAACACUGUAACUGUAAAUGACUCUUCUCCAACUGACGGAUAAGUCACACAAACCACGCCAGACUGCUUGCCACUGGAGAAUUGUUUGCUGUUUUGACAAUGAGCAGAGGACUCCAUUUAUCCCUCAGCCGCAAACACCAGCACUUGAGAGAGAGUACCCACAAGGCACUGCUUCUGCCAACAGACUCCACCACGCCAGGGUUGGGUGUUGCUGUGGCAACGUCCGGAUGUUUUCAUAUCAGAUGUGAAAGGUUAUUGUAUUUGUUUUUAUCAGGACACUCUGGGUGAUUGCCCUGCGAGAACAAAUGCUUUGUGAUGAUGAUGUUGUCUGUUCCCCUUUCUCCCAAACCUUGGGGAGAUGGGGGGGAGGAUGGAGGUGGGUCACAAGAUAAGCCUGAAAAAAUAACUUAGUGUAUAUAAUGUACUUUCCACCCACACUUAUGCAGCUACCUCACACAGUGGUCGGUCAGUCAAGAGACAGCACACCCCCCCCCCCCAGGAAAGGAAAUGGCUGUCAGAAAGGCUGAACUACCACUGUGUGGGCUGUCUCCUUUUCAUAUUGGCCUUUGAUGACGGUGAAGUUAACACUGAUGGAAAAAAAAAAAAAAAAACCUGUUAGUUUUCAAAGCCAUCUCCCUUUCAAUACCGUACUGUACUAUUGCUUUUACACUUUAUUUUCAAAUCGGUUUCAAAUUUCAUUUUUCGUCCUCGUGUGAGGAAAUGAGUAACUGCAGUCAGCAUGCGCACGGAGAACGAAAACAGCGGGGCAGGCCACGACUCGCCGCGUGAAUCGCUCGACGACGACCAGAGAUGAGAAAAAUGGAAUUGAAGAUAACUCUUAAAGUAACAGCUUAAAUGCCUCAGUUGUGGUCUGACCAACAUUCAGAGGGUAGGGCCUGAGCCUGAAAGAGUGGAGGUCAGUAGUCGUUUGAAAAGUCAGUUUAGCCACUGCUUCUACGCCUGCCUGCUGUGGAGACUUGUGGCUCAGUGUGCCCUGACGUCGUACGCUGCGAGUGAAAUGGCCCUUAUAGGAGGGUAGAAAUAGACCUGGUGGGCGUAGCAGAGGCCUCAUAACUGUCACACAACCAGGAAGCAGUCAGUCUGAUAUGUUGCCAUGGGGACCCGGCCUCCUUACAGUGAUUACAACCAGGAAGCAGCCAGACUGAGGGGACAUUGCCGUGGGGACUCUUCCCCCCCCCCCCCCCAAUUCCCCGUUCCCACAUCUCCCCAUCCCCCUUAGCUUGUCUGCUUCUCCCAGUUUGUUCAGCAGUUUAGCUAUGUUGUCUCUGGCUCACACACAAAUUAGACUGACCCGGCAGACACACAGCUCAGUCUUCUUAACAUUCACAAUUGUGCAAUUUUAGCUGAAACGUAUAACUGAUUUGACACAUCAUCUGAAAAGGUGUUAAGGAGCAUAGUCGAGUACGGUCCUGUGGCGACAGAAAUUAUAUGCUGCGAUACAACUUCUGUUACCAACCUCCUGCAGUUGCCAAGCAGGGGGGAUGGAUGGAAAAUGGGAGCUGAGUUUAUGGUAAGUGCACAGAAUCUGUGGUUAUGCUACAAAUGGAACCCAGGCUUUCUGAAAGACUGGGCAGAGAUCAGUUACACAAUAAGCAACUGACGUCACUAAAUGCACUUGACAUUUUUUUUUUUUUUAAAAAGAAAACAAAAAGUAAUUUGAUUUUGGCAAAAUAAAUAAAUAACAGUGUUUAAACUAGUGAGAGAGAAAAAUAACAGUGCCUGCAGAACUAAUAAUCGUAGGCACGAUUUUCCUUGUGAUUUUCAGAACAAGUGAAAGGAAGACACUGGUAUUCUUACUAAAACAGUGAAAUUUAAGAGAUUACAGUUCAGGAACAUGAAACAGAUUUUGCCUCUGAUAAAUGGAGAGCGUAUAGGUGGCAAAAUUAACGCAUUGAGAGUGUUUCGCGUGUUAAAAUGUACUGUAAAACUCAAAAAACGAGCUCUGUUAUGUUAGCUGUGUGUAUCGGAGAGUCAUACGCUAUGCAGUGGUACAACUCCCACCUGGGUAAAAAUUUGUAUUUGAAAUACUUUAACUCUUCUGGUGCCAGUAAAAUCUGAAAUCAGUCCAGAAGGUUUUUUGAGAAUUCUCAGUGAAAAGGCUUAUCUACAAAACAAACUACUAACCUAAACAUGACAGUAAUCAAAAUUUUGUUCUGAUUAUUGUUUAGUGUAAAAUGCUUCUAUGUAUAAAUUCUCAGCAAUAUGGAUGAAUAGUACAGUUGUCUGAAAGGUAUCAAACUAUUAAAAUAAUCAUUUUGAUGCAGUUCUGGUAAAGUCACGGUUCAUUUGCUGCCGUUUCAAGUUGAAACAGCAGUGAGGACCGCCUGCAGCCUGUCCAAGGCCCAUCGUCUAGGAAACCCUGUGCUCUGCCCGCGUUCGAGAGAGGCCUCUGACCUUUGACCUCAGAGCUAAACUCAAAACAAACAAAACCAAAUGAAGUACCCUAAGCCUUGUGAUAUGACUCAAGUACGCAACAAGAAUCCUGUGCCACAGUGUUAUCAGAUCAGCGCAUGCCAAGUUUCAGAGGGCUCCGUUUGAGGGCUACGUAGGCGUGCGGGUGAAACGCGGGUUAUUUACCAGUUAUCUCGCCAUCCCAGGCAAUUAAGUGCUUAUCUCUCAUGGCAGGCCGAAGCAACUCCUCUCCUGUGUGAAAAAUACUCAAAAAGGAAGCUGUUUACCCUCUGGGGCUGCUUUUACAGCCACUGCUGUACAGUACUUGUGUUCAUCAGCAGCAGUUCAGUACAGUGGCAUUGCAUUGCACUGCAUUGCAUUGCACCAGGGCUGCCCAACCCUGUUCCUGGAGAUCUGCCGUCCUGUAGGUUUCCACUCCAACCCUAAGGCCUGAUUUAUACUUUGUCGCACGACGCUUGUUUAAAUGGUCGUGUGACAAAGUAUAAAUCAGGCUUAACAAUGUGCACUUCAUUCAACAGCUAGCAAUCUUGUUGAGCUGCUAAUUAGUAGAAUCAGGUGUGCCACAUAAGGGUUGAAAUGAAAACCUACAGGGUGGCAGAUCUCCAGGAACAGGGUUGGGCAGCACUACAUUAUACCAUUUUGUUCGGGCAGGUAAUCAGGGAUAAGUCAUGUGACCCGAUCACAUGACCUCAGUGUCUACAGAUUUUUGUUGUUUCCUGUCAAUAAGACCUUGAGAACAAGGUGUGUGGAUUUUUCUGAUCUAUAGUUUAGAUGAAAAACAAGUGUUGAAACGCAUUUAAAACCAGCAGGCACUGCCGCCCGCCAGGACUGGAGUUAAACCUGCAGGCACUGCGGCCCGCCAGGACUGGAGUUAAACCUGCAGGCACUGCGGUCCUCCAGGACUAGAGUUAAACCUGCAGACGCUGCUGCCCUCCAGGACUGGAGUUAAACCUGUAGAUGCUGCUGCCCUCCAGGACUGGAGUUAAGCCUGCAGACACUGUGGCCCCAGGUGCUGGAGUCUGACAUUCGUGUCUUACAGUUGGAGUUGCAGGUGGUUUCUAUGUAGGUGAAGUAUUUUUAGAGGUAUAAUUUUUCCUCAGCCCGUGGGUCCUAAUUUUCUGCGUCUCGUCUAUGCAGCACUGAGAAGUUUUUAUAUUGGAGAUCCUUUGUGUACUUAUGAAGGUAAAAUAGAAAUAAAUACAUUUCAGAUGAUGCAGCCGUUUUCAUACACAUAUUUGUGAAGUAUGACUGCAAAUAAGAAAACAAAGUGGUGUCAGUGGCUACUUCCUACUUCAGCUUUUAUCUGCCAGUCGUUCUGUGGACUCAUGUGACUCAGGCUAGUUCAUCCUGUCUCUCUCCAGGACCAGCGCUGGUUGCCACCUCUGACCUAGUACCCAUUUCAGAAUGAACGUGUUGUACAUUUCAGGGUGUAUGCUACCAGAACAUUCCUCUACCCUUUGCCAUAUCUUUAGCUUAGAGGUAGAGAAGCAAGCUGUAUCAACAAAACAACCUCAUCAACCCCAACCUCAGUGGGAUGGCAGGGGUUGGCUUCAGGUCUGGUGAUUGGAUUGAUAAAAAUGCUCAAUAUUCUCAGUUGAACACGAACCACUAAUAUACGAGGAAGUUAACUCAUAACAGAAGCCUCAAAUGAAAGGUCUCAUACACAUAUUGCACAGUAUUAGUCACUAAUAUUCUCGCUGGCCUGUUUACCCUCUAGCCUUUGUCCCUUUUCUAGACACUGUUCUUAGAUAUUACUAGCAUGACUAAAAAAAAAAGAAAAUAAAACAUGGCUAAAAUGUUCUUUACCCUUAUCAAUAUUAAUCACACAGGAUUUGGCAAUGCCUCAACUGGAUUUUACGGUGGUCACAAGCGUGGCUGUAGCCAUGACGAGCAGGUUGUUUUUUCCACCCCAUUUUUUGUGCCCUGCAUGCUUUAAGAUUUUGUAAUAUCCUUGGUGGCCAAAACAGGAGUUAGAGACAGACUUGGGCAAUGAUGUGGGACCAAACCACAUUACAGGAAGAACAUCUGAAGGAAGUAUUUCAGUUUGAUCUAAUUAUUUUAGUUGUGAAACAUAGCUUUAUCUUACUAUUCACUGUCCACACACAUAAUGCAGUUUACUGGUUACAGUGGUAAGUGUAAUUCUGACUCUUGAUGUCUUUGAUGUGUUAUGUGCAAAAAUGUAUUGUUUUGCUCUCUUAACUGAAUGUGAUUUAGAAAGUGUCCGUUGAAUACAGCCAUACAGCAUUUCCUUGAAAUGUGCAUUUUCCCCUGACUCUAGGCAGGUGGAACAUCCGGGGUCGCGGCUGCCUUUUCGGCUGCUCCCCUCGGCAAAUCUGGCGACUUUGUGAAAUACAGGAAGUUAGAAGCUAGAAAAUGCAAAAGAAAGCAACGUGCUCACAACACGCGAACCGCGAGGCUCUGUCUGCCGUCGGCUUUCUGCCCAGCCGGGAAGACAAACGAAAAACGCCUCGGCCGCUUCACACAUCACUUAGCAUGUACAUACUAUCCUACAUCCGCGAAUAAACGCGAAAAAAAUACAUAUUAUGUCUUGAAAACAGCAAGUGGGCGAACUGACGGGACGUGAGUGAGGACGUGUUGAGAGUGGUAUGUCAUGGUCAAUGUCUCGCAAUGAAAGGGAGAAAGGUAAAAAGACCCAAUGUCUAUUGUAGUGCAGUCGAAGUGCAGACCUUGAGGAGCCACGGGUUACGUGAUGCAGAGGGCACAGGGGCGGGCAGAGGGCUGGAUUGGCGGCUCACUCACGCAGCAGGAGAGAACUGGGGUGCUGCUGAUUGGUUGCUUCAGGUCUGGAGUUCCAGUGAGGAGUCGGCUGACGCAGACGUAAAAACACAGUGACUCCACCCUGUGCCAUCAUGCCAUCAACCUGCCCCCCCCCCCACCCCACCCCACCCCGCCUUGCUAGCCAGGCUCAACCCUUCAUACAUUCGCUGUCAACAGCGUAUUCUAAAUAGUGUCUCUGAAGGAGACUUUCAGAUCAACUUUUCAGCUAUUUUCAGAUUGCACUUGUAACUGUCUUCUUGCACCCAUGACUAUGUAACUUUCAACUGCAAGGCUUAAAAAGUCUUGCUGGCUGACAAUUGAAUAAUUCUUUGUAAUGGAAUUCAGUAGUCUGCACGUGGGGUCCAUUGUUUAUUCACAUUGCCCAGUUGUUCGUCCACUGAUUGUGAAUCGAAUUGGACGGGAGAAGAACCCAGAGGACCGGCCUUCUCGUACGGUAACGGCUGAAGAAAGGCUGGUCCACGUCUGUCUGCUUAUGAAAAGCAGAAGGUGGUGGGGUCUGGAGGACAGUUGCCUGGUUCCUGUGCAGCAACCCUGGUGUGCAGCGUUUUGUUUUUCAUCUGAAAGACCAUGACACACAUUUUCCAUUGCCCUUGAAGAAAAAAAGAAAAAGAGAGGCAGCGUGCGAAUUGAUGUGGUUAUUGUCAUUGGGCUGUUUUCUACAACAGCUCAAAACUAGAGUUGCACCCCCCAGCCUCCAGCGCCCCCCCCCCCUCUUGAAAACAGCUGAUUUAUGUAGAAUGCUCAUAAAAAGGGAAGGCCUUGAAGCCUGUCACAGGGAUUAGUUGUUUGUGUUGGGUUUAUAUUACCGGCACAGGGUUUCUCUUCCUUGUCCUCGGCAACCAACACAUUCCUGUCAUUGUUGACUCAUGCAUAUUACUGGUGAAAUGAUUUUGUUGAUUUUUUUUUUGGAAAUUUAUUUCUAAGUUUAACUUCUUGCUCUGUUACCCCUUUGCAGUGUGCCCUGUGGCAUUCCCAAUUGUGAAAAGGCAUUAUGCAAAUAAAAUGUAAAAAUAUG